ACCCUGCCCCGAGGCAGAUGGAGAGCUCGGCGUUCACUUACCUAAGGUGAGAGCGUUAACCUUUGGGGUUCUACAGGAGAGGAGAAAAGGAAAGUGAUAGGGACACCCCAAUAACCCCAGUUCAUUAAUCCCAUAUUUUCUAUCUGCAGACAUCUUACUCUUCGAGUCAGGCAUACAGUGCACAGAGGUCCAGCCCAAAGAGCCAACCGGGUGGUGCACAUCACUUUUGAAGAUACGGUAGUCGCCCAGUCAAGACCGGCGCCUCUGCGAGAAUCAGGUGAGCGUUACACAUUCUUGGACAGGUGCAAGAUGAACCAAAGCAAAAGCAUUUGCCAAGAAUGUUUUCAUUAAUCAAGAACGAAAGUCAGAGGUUCGAAGAUAAGAUACCUUUGUAGUUCCAACCAUAGACAAUGCCAACUAGCGAACCGGUGGCGUUAUUCCCAUGACCUGCCGAGCAGCUUCCGGGAAACCAAAGUCUUUGGGUUCCGGGGGGGAGUAUGGUUGCAAAGCUGAAAUUUAAAGAAAUUGACAGAAGGGCACCACCAGGAGUGAAGUCUCCUUCUUUUGACUCAACACGGGAACCCUCACCCAGUUAGGACACAAAGUAACAACCGAUUGAUAGCUCUUUUGAUUCUGUGGGUAGUGGCGCAUGUCUGUUGUUAGUUAGUGGAGCGAGUUGUCUGGUUAAUUCCAAUAAUGAAUGAGAUUCCUGCAUGCUAACUAGUUAUGCAACCCCCAACGGUCGGCAUUCAACUUAUUUAAAAAAGAAAAAAUAUUUUUAUUGGCAUUUCAAAUUUGAGAAAAAUUGAACAUAUUCCCAACCCAGUUUAAACCCAACCCUUACCCUCUCGUCCCAUCCCUCCCACCCCCCAACCACUAUUAUAUGAUAUCCACAUAGAAUCAAAGUCUAUGCGAUGCCUAAAGUCGGGUCAGCUAAUAUUAUCCCCACCAAUAAUAUCGCCAUAUAUAUGGUCGUCGGGAAGGGCCAUAGGCGAUAUUAUUAGUGGGGAUCAUUUUUGGGGUAAAUGGGAGUGGGAGUUGCGGGGUGUCCGCCGCUACCUUUAAAAUAAUAUGGAGGUUGCGAGGGGGUCCCCAGCAGGUUCAAUGGGUUAAUAUUACCGCAAUAAUACCCCGCCAUACAUGGCGAUAUUUUUGCAGGAUACAUGGAGCCCUAAAAACCGCAGUUUGUGUAGUCAAAGUGCAAAGUUAUAGUCAACUUGCAAAAACCAUUCCCUAUUCCUUUGUAAAAGCGUUCAACUUCUAAGAGGGGCAAGUGGCACUCAGCCACCGGAGAUCAAACAAUACAGAUCUGUGAUGCUCUUAGAUGUCCGGUGCGGGGACAGCACCUUCGCAGUCUCCAGUACAGCAAUGCAAACGAUCCCAGAGAAACUGGCGGGAGCCCUGGGAGAGUUCUCCUUUCUUUGUGAAGGGCAGGGCACCCUGGAAUGGGUUCACCCCGAGAGAGGGCCCAUGCCUUGGAAAGCGUUGCGGUUCUGGCAGCGUCUCGUGAGCUCUCGCUGGUGCUUAAAAAUCUGAGGAGAGAUGGUGUAAAUCUUGUGCUGGGCUGUACCCCUAUCCGCAGCAGGUCUCCAAGGUGAACAGCCUCUGGCAUAUGUAAGGGAAGUCUGCAAGUCAGAUCCGUAACUUUGGGAUAAGGUUUGGCUCUAAGGGCUGGGUCAGUCGGGCUGGGGCGCGAAGCGGGGAUGGGCGCGCAAUGUGGCUGGACAAGGCCUCGUCUGCUGCCUCCCCCCCGGGCUGGGCCAACACUAGAUGAGAGCCGGGCCCUUCCUGUGGGGUUGCCCAACUGUGGUAGACGCCUCUCUGUUCCCCUCCUGGAGUUCAGGGCUGGGCUUCUGUCUUGGCCGAUGGAACUGGUGCGUACCAGGGGAAUCCAACUGUUUAAUUAAAACAAAGCAUUGCAAAGGCCCGCGGCAGGUCUUGGUGCGAUGUGAUUUCUGCCCAGUGCUCACAAUGUCAAAGUGAAGAAAUUCAAUGAAACACAGGUAAACAUCAGGAGUAACUAUGACUCUCUUUUAAGGUAGCCAAAUACCUUGUCAUCUAAUUAGUGACGGGCAGGAAUGGAUGAACGAUAUUAUUGUUGUCCCUGCCUACUAUCUAGUGAAACCACAGCCAAUGGAACGGGUUUGACAGAACGCACGGGCAAAGAAGGCCACGUUGGGCAUGACUCUAGUCUGGCAGUGUGAAAUGACAUGAAAGGUACAGGAUAAGUGGAAGGCCCUCGAGCCGCCAGUGAAAUACCACUACGCUUGUCAGUUUUUCACUUACCUGGUGAAACAUGGGGGCCGAGCAACAUGGGGCCGAGCCACAUGGGCCGAGCCACAAGGGGCCGAGCCACGUGGGGCUCUCGCUUCUGGCUCCAAUGGCCUGGCACCUGCUUGGCGCAUCCCACUCUGGGGACAGUGGGAGAUGUGGAGUUUUACUGGGGCGGUAAACCUGUCCAAUUAUAAUGCAGAUGUCCAAAUGCAAGCUCAUGGAGGGCAGAAACCUCCCACGGAGCAGAAGGGCAAACGCUUGCUUGAUCUCGAUCUUCAGGAUUACUAGAGACCAUAAAAGCAGGUCUCGUGAUCCUUCCAACUUUUUGGGUUUCAAGCAGGUGUCAGAAAAAUUACGGCAGGCAUAACUGGCUUGUGGCGGGCAAGCAUUCAUAACGACAUUCCUGUUACUGUGAAGCAGAAUUCACCAAGCGUUGAAUUGUUCACCCACUAAUAGGGAACGUGAGCUGGAUUUAGACCGUCGUGAUACAGGUUUGUUUUACCCUACUGAUGUGGUGUUGCAAUAAUAAUCCUGCGCAGUACAAGAAGAACCGUAGGUUCAGCCAUUUGGUGUAUGUGGUUGGCUGAGGAGCCAGUGGGGCGAAGCUACCAUCUGUGGGAUUAUGACUGAAUGCCUUUAAAUCUGAAUAAUCCCUAAACAGUAACGAUACCGCAGCACUGUGGAGCCUCGGUUGGCCUACGAUAGCUGGCCUCUGGGCUGGUGCAUAGAGCUGCGCGCCUUGUGACUUGUGUGGACAGAAAGGGGCCACUUCUCUCACCCAUAGUGCACCACAUGUUC
RNAcentral lists this ribosomal RNA (3072 nucleotides) under Ambystoma mexicanum (axolotl). RNAcentral's name for it is "eukaryotic LSU rRNA". The stretch from base 792 to 3072 matches the Rfam family "Eukaryotic large subunit ribosomal RNA". The record is from RNAcentral. Lineage: Eukaryota; Metazoa; Chordata; Amphibia; Caudata; Ambystomatidae.